This is a long non-coding RNA of Hemicordylus capensis (graceful crag lizard), 416 nucleotides long. RefSeq lists it as uncharacterized. The record is from RefSeq and is a predicted model, not a curated record. Lineage: Eukaryota; Metazoa; Chordata; Lepidosauria; Squamata; Cordylidae. The transcript is spliced from 2 exons.
GCAGGAUAAGCAGACUCCCUGGAGCUCUGUGUGGACAAUGGAAGCACUCAGUCUGCAGACAAAUGGAGUUCAGAAGGACUUUUACUAUAGUACAUAGCAUUUGGGAGAAGAACUGUGCCUUGCAAAGAUACAUCUGGCAGAAACCUAUCAAGCAUAUCUGUAAGAAGAUAUUGUGGCUGGAUUGGAGGUGUUGAAUUUCUGGCUGGACAGUUACCACAUUUUUGGGGAAGCACUGUGUUUUUUAGAUGCAGAAAUCUAUCAGGGGCAUCUCUAGGAAGUGUCUGGAAAAGCUGUACCUCUUGAUUUUCUGCCUGCAUGUUACUACUUAUGUUUAAAUUUUGAUAUUGUUUCCAGGUCUUUAUGGAUUCAAACCCCCAAAUAUCCUAUUGGUGAACAGUUUGAUUAUAUAUUUUUCA